Molecule: long non-coding RNA, 794 nt
Filed under: Phasianus colchicus (ring-necked pheasant)
Lineage: Eukaryota; Metazoa; Chordata; Aves; Galliformes; Phasianidae
Description: lncRNA (ENSPCLG00000010991.1)
Source: RNAcentral
AGAACGUCCUCAAACUCAGACUGGUUCUUGUUUCUGUAGCUCAUGUUGACAAACACACCAGUUCUUCACUUCCAGCUUCCACUGACAAGCAGGGAUUUCCCAGCCGUACCGCAACACUUUGAAGAAGUCAUUUUUCAGAAGUUUAGAAACUUCAGAACAUCAAGUGGUGCAGCCAGGGGAACUGAGUGCUAUCACAAGAGCUGUUACUGCUGCAAGAUCCUGGGACUGGACAGAAGGCUGCAACAUCAAAGUGAUCUGAGUGGUUGUGACACGAAAUUUCCUUUCCUCCUCUGCCCCAGAGACUGUUUCUAUGAAGCACUGACUGCUCUGAAUUCAGGCAGGCUAUUCCAGAGAGAAGAGGAAACAGUGCAGUAGAAGGAGGUGGGCUCCUUGGAUUCUGAGCAGAGUGGAAGAGCUUCACAGAAAUCUGGAGGGAAGAUGCACAGCUUUCUAGUCUGCAGUGCUUUCAACUGCAUGUCUAAUUCCCUGCAGUCCUUCUGCGGUGUCCAUACAUUUAAAUGUACUGAAAGCGAGAUGUAACUUAAGAGCAUAUAACAAGUUUUAUUGCAGGCCCAAAUAUAAUCUAUAAUAAUAACUUUAAAUGUAAAUCAGUUUGUUUGGAUGUAUUUUUCAGUUGUUCUGUUCUUAGGAAAACAAAUAAGAAAACCCAUUAUCUUUAUCCUAAUGUCUAUGCAUACUAUGUCUUAGUAUGCAUGCUUUCUUUUGUUUGAACUUGUCACAGAGCAAAAUCUUUCUUAAAUGAUUCUUGCCAAAUAAACAUUGGCAUCUUCUCA